This 2907-nucleotide ribosomal RNA is filed under the name Campylobacter fetus subsp. testudinum 03-427. RNAcentral's name for it is "bacterial LSU rRNA". It matches the Rfam family "Bacterial large subunit ribosomal RNA". Lineage: Bacteria; Pseudomonadati; Campylobacterota; Epsilonproteobacteria; Campylobacterales; Campylobacteraceae. RNAcentral also lists the same sequence under 1 other name. The record is from RNAcentral.
GUAAGCUACUAAGAGCAAAUGGUGGAUGCCUUGGCUAGUAGAGGCGAUGAAAGACGUGCCAGGCUGCGAUAAGUCUCGGGGAGCCGUCAAGGGGCUUUGAUCCGGGAAUUUCUGAAUGGGGCAACCCAGUAUAUAGUGAUAUAUACUACCGCAAUGCGGAGCUAACGUUGGGAAUUGAAACAUCUUAGUACCAACAGGAAAAGAAAUCAAAAGAGAUUACGCUAGUAGCGGCGAGCGAACGCGUAAGAGGGCAAACCGUUAGUUUACUAACGGGGUUGUAGGACUGCAACAUAGACUUAAACAAACUAAUAGAAUAACCUGGAAAGGUUGGCCAUAGAGGGUGAUAGCCCCGUAUAUGAAAGUGCGUUUAUACUUAGCAGUAUCCUGAGUAGGGCGGGACACGUGAAAUCCUGUCUGAAGCUGGGGAGACCACUCUCCAACCCUAAAUACUACUACUAGACCGAUAGUGCACAAGUACCGUGAGGGAAAGGUGAAAAGAACUGAGGUGAUCAGAGUGAAAUAGAACCUGAAACCAUUUGCUUACAAUCAUUCAGAGCACGAUUCUUUAUGACGUGUGAUGGACUGCCUUUUGCAUAAUGAGCCUGCGAGUUGUGGUGUCUGGCGAGGUUAAGGAAACCCGGAGCCGUAGCGAAAGCGAGUCUUAAUAGGGCGUAUAGUCAGAUGCUGCAGACCCGAAACGAUGUGAUCUAUCCAUGAGCAGGUUGAAACUGGUGUAAGAGCCAGCGGAGGACCGAACAGACGGCCGUUGAAAAGGCUCCUGAUGACUUGUGGAUAGGGGUGAAAGGCCAAUCAAACAUCGUGAUAGCUGGUUCUCUCCGAAAUAUAUUUAGGUAUAGCGUUGUGUCGUAAUUAUAAGGGGUAGAGCACUGAAUGGGCUAGGGCAUAUACCAAUGUACCAAACCCUAUCAAACUCCGAAUACUUAUAAUGUAAUCACAGCAGUCAGGCGGCGAGUGAUAAAAUCCGUCGUCAAGAGGGGAACAACCCAGACUAACAGCUAAGGUCCCUAAAUCUCAUUUAAGUGGAAAACGAUGUGGAGUUACUGAAACAACCAGGAGGUUGGCUUAGAAGCAGCCAUCCUUUAAAGAAAGCGUAAUAGCUCACUGGUCUAGUGAUUCUGCGCGGAAAAUAUAACGGGGCUAAAAUGAGUACCGAAGCUUUAGACUUAGUUUUUAACUAAGUGGUAGGAGAGCGUUCUAUUCAGCGUUGAAGGUAUACCGGUAAGGAGUGCUGGAGCGGAUAGAAGUGAGCAUGCAGGCAUGAGUAGCGAUAAUUGAUGUGAGAAUCAUCAACGCCGAAAACCCAAGGUUUCCUACGCGAUGCUCGUCAUCGUAGGGUUAGUCGGGUCCUAAGCAAAGUCCGAAAGGGGUAUGCGAUGGAAAAUUGGUUAAUAUUCCAAUACCAAUUAUUAUGUGCGAUGGAAGGACGCUUAAAGUUAGUGGAGCUAGCGGAUGGAAGUGCUAGUCUAAGGGUGUAGGUUGAGUUAUAGGCAAAUCCGUAACUCUUUAUCCGAGACCUAAAAGGCUCAUGACGCUCUUCGGAGUAGAUUGAGAAUCCAUGAUACUAUCGAGCCAAGAAAAGUUUCUAAGUUUAGUAAUAAUUGCCCGUACCGUAAACCGACACAGGUGGGUGGGAUGAGUAUUCUAAGGCGCGUGGAAGAACUCUCUUUAAGGAACUCUGCAAAAUAGCACCGUAUCUUCGGUAUAAGGUGUGCCUAACUUUGUAUUAAGAUUCACUCCCAAAGCAAAGAAGGUUACAACAAAGAGUCCCUCCCGACUGUUUACCAUAAACACAGCACUCUGCUAACACGUAAGUGGAUGUAUAGGGUGUGACGCCUGCCCGGUGCUCGAAGGUUAAUUGAUGAUGUUAGCUAUGCGAAGCAUUUGAUCGAAGCCCGAGUAAACGGCGGCCGUAACUAUAACGGUCCUAAGGUAGCGAAAUUCCUUGUCGGUUAAAUACCGACCUGCAUGAAUGGCGUAACGAGAUGGGAGCUGUCUCAAAGAGGGAUCCAGUGAAAUUGUAGUGGAGGUGAAAAUUCCUCCUACCCGCGGCAAGACGGAAAGACCCCGUGGACCUUUACUACAGCUUGACACUGCUACUUGGAUAAAGAUGCGCAGGAUAGGUGGGAGGCUUUGAUCCAUAGACCCUGGUUUAUGGUGAGCCAUUGUUGAGAUACCACUCUUCUUUAUUCGGGUAGCUAACUAGCCUAAGUUAUCCUUAGGUAGGACAAUGUCUGGUGGGUAGUUUGACUGGGGCGGUCGCCUCCCAAAAUGUAACGGAGGCUUACAAAGGUUGGCUCAGAACGGUUGGAAAUCGUUCGUAGAGUAUAAAGGCAUAAGCCAGCUUAACUGCGAGACAUACACGUCAAGCAGAGACGAAAGUCGGUCUUAGUGAUCCGGUGGUUCUGUGUGGAAGGGCCAUCGCUCAAAGGAUAAAAGGUACCCCGGGGAUAACAGGCUGAUCUCCCCCAAGAGCUCACAUCGACGGGGAGGUUUGGCACCUCGAUGUCGGCUCAUCGCAUCCUGGGGCUGGAGCAGGUCCCAAGGGUAUGGCUGUUCGCCAUUUAAAGCGGUACGCGAGCUGGGUUCAGAACGUCGUGAGACAGUUCGGUCCCUAUCUGCCGUGGGCGUAAGAAGAUUGAGGAGAGUUGACCCUAGUACGAGAGGACCGGGUCGAACUAGCCACUGGUGUACCAGUUGUUCUGCCAAGAGCAUCGCUGGGUAGCUAAGCUAGGAUGAGAUAAGAGCUGAAAGCAUCUAAGCUCGAAGCCAACUCCAAGAUGAAUCUUCUUUUAAGAGCUCUAGUAGACUACUAGUUUGAUAGGCUGGGUGUGUAAUGGAUGAAAGUCCUUUAGCUGACCAGUACUAAUAGCUCGUUUGCUUAUCUUU